UACAGAGGUCUCAAGCGUUGUUCGGAUUCAUUGGGCGUAAAGGGUGCGUAGGCGGCGCGGUCAGUCGGGUGUGAAAUCUCGGGGCUUAACUCCGAAACUGCAUUCGAUACUGCCGUGCUUGAGGACUGGAGAGGAGACUGGAAUUUACGGUGUAGCGGUGAAAUGCGUAGAUAUCGUAAUGAAGACCAGUGGCGAAGGCGGGUCUCUGGACAGUUCCUGACGCUGAGGCACGAAGGUCAGGGGAGCAAACGGG
Molecule: ribosomal RNA, 253 nt
Filed under: uncultured bacterium
Lineage: Bacteria
Description: partial 16S ribosomal RNA
Rfam family: Bacterial small subunit ribosomal RNA
Source: RNAcentral